AUACGGAGGGCGCAAGCGUUGUUCGGAAUUACUGGGCGUAAAGCGCGUGUAGGCGGCUUGGCAAGUCGGUUGUGAAAUCCCGGGGCUCAACCCCGGAACUGCAUCCGAAACUGUCUCGCUAGAGUCCCGGAGAGGAAGGCAGAAUUCCCAGUGUAGGGGUGAAAUCCGUAGAUAUUGGGAGGAAUACCAGUGGCGAAGGCGGCCUUCUGGACGGUGACUGACGCUGAGGCGCGAAAGCGUGGGGAGCAAACAGGAUUAGAAACCCCAGUAGUCC
This 274-nucleotide ribosomal RNA is filed under the name uncultured bacterium. RNAcentral's name for it is "partial 16S ribosomal RNA". It matches the Rfam family "Bacterial small subunit ribosomal RNA", at positions 523 to 796 of the family's 1533-position model. The record is from RNAcentral.